GACGUGUUUAGCGGACCCGGAAGAUAAGAAGAGGCCCAAUGAGUCCCGUAACAGGGUGGUGGUAACAGGGAGUCGGCACUAAAGAAACCGAACUCGACUCUACCGUUUGUUCAGUCUCUCUCGUUGGUGGAGAUCGCCAGCCAACAUGUCGUCGCUGCUAUCCAUCGGCGGAGUAGCUCUCUCCUUCCCCCCUCUGGCAGCCGGCCUUCGCCGCCCCAUUUGCGGCAGUGCCAACGGAGUCGGUGCCGCCCAGGAGGCGGCAAUUGUGCGGCGGGCGGCGGAGGUGGCGGACCUCUCGGCGGGGCACUCCGCCCCGCACCCCAACUCCGGGUGCCUGAUCGCCAGGGGCGGAGACGUGGUCGGGCAGGGCUUCCUCUACGCGCAGGGCACCAAGUGCGCAGAGCUUCAGGCCGUCGAGAUGGCCGGCGGCCUCGCCCGCGGGGCCACCGCCUAUCUAAACUUGGAACCCGACGACUGCUAUGGCGACCACACUCCCGUCUCUUCUCUCGUCCAGGCUGGAAUUUCAAGAGUUGUAGUGGGGCUCAGGCAUCCAUUGAAGCACCUGCGAGGAAAGGCAAUCAAAUCAUUAAGAAGUGAAGGUGUUCCGGUUGAUGUUCUUGGAGAGGAUUUAAAUGGUAAAGUAUUUGAGGACAAAGUCACGAGGAGGACGAUUGGAUCUACUAAGGAACGGAAUGGCCUUUACUACCUUAAUGCUGAAGCUUUGAAGUCCUGCCUCGUAGUAAAUGCUCCAUUGCUCUAUAGAACUGCUUGUCAUGUUCCAUUCUCUAUUCUCAAGUACGCAAUGACCUUAGAUGGAAAAAUUGCAGCUAGCAGUGGACAUGCAUCAUGGGUAAGCAGCAAAUUAUCUAGAGGUCGAGUAUUUGAGCUGCGUGGCAGAAGCGAUGCCAUUGUUGUUGGAGGAAAUACUGUGCGCCGUGAUGAUCCACAGCUAACUGCAAGACAUGGAGGGGGCCAUGUUCCAGUGCGAAUUGUAAUGUCACAAACACUUGAUCUCCCUGAAGAGGCAAAGCUUUGGAAUGUCUUUGAUGCAUACACUAUAGUUGCAACACAACGGGGUGCUCGAAAAGAUGUGCAGAAGAAGCUUGCAAAAAAAGGCGUUGAAGUGGUGGAAUUUGACAUUUUGAAUCCUAAAGAUGUUAUGGAAUAUUGCUAUGACCGUGGAUGCCUCUCCAUUUUAUGGGAGUGCGGUGGGGCACUUGCUGCACCAGCAAUAUCUUCGGGCGUCAUUCACAAGGUUUGUGCUUUUGUUGCCCCGAAAAUCAUAGGGGGACUAAAUGCUCCAUCUCCAGUAGGUGAACUACGGAUGGUUCAAAUGUCACAGGCACUUAAUUUAAUUGAUGUCUCAUAUGAACAGAUUGGACCAGACAUGCUUAUAAGUGGAUUUCUUCAGCCCAUCCCUGAUCUCUCACCUGUAAUUCCACAAGCUGAUGAAACUUCAGCUCUUGAUCCAACAGUUUCUCCUUAUGAUACAAAAAUCAUAUCCUUUUAUAAGACAUGGGAUCUAUAUGGAGCAUUAUCAAACUUUUCUCCUCAUCCUGUGCGGAUGCCUGAUGAAGAUGGAACUUACUUCACAUGGUCAAGUGUAGAACACUAUUAUCAGGCACACAAAUUUGUGGGUGUUGAGAGUCCGCUAGCAAGGGACUUCAUUGAACAAAUCAAGUUAGCAAAGAGCCCUGAGGAAGCAGCACGCUUAGGCAGGAAAUUGCAGAGAGAACACCCUGAACUGAUGAUGAUAUUGGGGGGAAUUGAGUGUUGAAAUAUCUGCGUAGAUAUAUUGUUAGGAUCUACAGACUGAUAGUGAAGUAGCUGCCUAUAUUUACCAUGGUUCGACCUGACUGGGAGUCCGUUAAGAUUGAACUUAUGUACAGGGCUUUAAAGUGCAAAUUUUCGAUGCAUCCUCACUUGAAGUCCAUGCUAUGUUCAACUGCUGGCUCUGUUCUUGUCGAAGCAUCACCACAUGAUCUCUUUUGGGGUGGAGGCCGGGAGGGAGAAGGCUUAAAUUAUUUGGGUAGGCUGCUGAUGCAAUUGAGGUCAGAGAUUUUAAAAGAGAACUCAAAACUGAGGGCAAACUCAUCUUGAUUCAAAUAAAGAUGUAUAUUAAAAAUGCACAUUUAUUUGUUCGAGUUACAUUCCUAAUUCACAAAUUGGUCUAUGAAUAAAUAAAUUAGUUUUAUGACA
RNA transcript from Elaeis guineensis (African oil palm), 2199 nucleotides. It is a transcript of the gene named riboflavin biosynthesis protein PYRR, chloroplastic, with no coding region annotated. The record is from RefSeq and is a predicted model, not a curated record. Lineage: Eukaryota; Viridiplantae; Streptophyta; Magnoliopsida; Arecales; Arecaceae.